AUAUAAGCAAAUUUUGAAUUUUAGGUUCAUUCAAUCAAUGAUGUAUGUGGUUUAUAAUAUUAACCAUAUACAUCAUUGAUUGAAUGAAUCUGAAAGUCAAAAUUUGCUUAUAU
Molecule: microRNA precursor, 113 nt
Organism: Medicago truncatula (barrel medic)
Lineage: Eukaryota; Viridiplantae; Streptophyta; Magnoliopsida; Fabales; Fabaceae
Rfam family: MIR2593 microRNA precursor family
Source: Rfam